Molecule: ribosomal RNA, 110 nt
Filed under: Acanthosepion pharaonis
Lineage: Eukaryota; Metazoa; Mollusca; Cephalopoda; Sepiida; Sepiidae
Source: RNAcentral
UGGCCAUAUCACGUUGAAACACCAAUUCCCAUACGAUCACCAAAGUUAAGCAACGUCGAGCCUGGUCAGUACCUCAAUUGGUGACCGCUUCGGAAUACCAGCUGCUGUUU